Molecule: ribosomal RNA, 790 nt
Filed under: Bacillus sp. BCCS 061
Lineage: Bacteria; Bacillati; Bacillota; Bacilli; Caryophanales; Bacillaceae
Description: bacterial SSU rRNA
Rfam family: Bacterial small subunit ribosomal RNA
Source: RNAcentral
UCCUUAAGUCUGAUGUGAAAGCCCCCGGCUCAACCGGGGAGGGUCAUUGGAAACUGGGGAACUUGAGUGCAGAAGAGGAGAGUGGAAUUCCACGUGUAGCGGUGAAAUGCGUAGAGAUGUGGAGGAACACCAGUGGCGAAGGCGACUCUCUGGUCUGUAACUGACGCUGAGGAGCGAAAGCGUGGGGAGCGAACAGGAUUAGAUACCCUGGUAGUCCACGCCGUAAACGAUGAGUGCUAAGUGUUAGGGGGUUUCCGCCCCUUAGUGCUGCAGCUAACGCAUUAAGCACUCCGCCUGGGGAGUACGGUCGCAAGACUGAAACUCAAAGGAAUUGACGGGGGCCCGCACAAGCGGUGGAGCAUGUGGUUUAAUUCGAAGCAACGCGAAGAACCUUACCAGGUCUUGACAUCCUCUGACAAUCCUAGAGAUAGGACGUCCCCUUCGGGGGCAGAGUGACAGGUGGUGCAUGGUUGUCGUCAGCUCGUGUCGUGAGAUGUUGGGUUAAGUCCCGCAACGAGCGCAACCCUUGAUCUUAGUUGCCAGCAUUCAGUUGGGCACUCUAAGGUGACUGCCGGUGACAAACCGGAGGAAGGUGGGGAUGACGUCAAAUCAUCAUGCCCCUUAUGACCUGGGCUACACACGUGCUACAAUGGACAGAACAAAGGGCAGCGAAACCGCGAGGUUAAGCCAAUCCCACAAAUCUGUUCUCAGUUCGGAUCGCAGUCUGCAACUCGACUGCGUGAAGCUGGAAUCGCUAGUAAUCGCGGAUCAGCAUGCCGCGGUGAAUACG